RNAcentral lists this ribosomal RNA (282 nucleotides) under Hemiselmis tepida. RNAcentral's name for it is "partial Eukaryotic large subunit ribosomal RNA". It matches the Rfam family "Eukaryotic large subunit ribosomal RNA", at positions 637 to 833 of the family's 3401-position model. The record is from RNAcentral. Lineage: Eukaryota; Cryptophyceae; Cryptomonadales; Hemiselmidaceae.
GCUUUAUUCGACCCGUCUUGUAACACGGACCAAGGAGUCCAGCAUGUACGCAAGUGCUUAGGUGGUAAACCUUAGCGCGUAGCGAAAGCAUAGGAAUAAUGAAUUAUUUGACUUUUUUUUCUUCUUUCUUAGGAAAAAGAAAAAAUUUGUUUUUUUAAUUGUCAUUUUUCUAAUGUGGGAGCUUUUUCCUUUUGGAUGCGCACCACGAUCCAACUUUCAAAGCUUAGGCAGGAACAGUUUGAGACCGAGCGUAUAUGAUGGGACCCGAAAGAUGGUGAACUA